This 410-nucleotide ribosomal RNA is filed under the name Burkholderia sp. RG47. RNAcentral describes it as "bacterial SSU rRNA". It matches the Rfam family "Bacterial small subunit ribosomal RNA", at positions 958 to 1373 of the family's 1533-position model. The record is from RNAcentral. Lineage: Bacteria; Pseudomonadati; Pseudomonadota; Betaproteobacteria; Burkholderiales; Burkholderiaceae.
AACGCGAAGACACUUACCUACCCUUGACAUGGUCGGAAUCCUGGAGAGAUCUGGGAGUGCUCGAAAGAGAACCGAUACACAGGUGCUGCAUGCCUGUCGUCAGCUCGUGUCGUGAGAUGUUGGGUUAAGUCCCGCAACGAGCGCAACCCUUGUCUUUAGUUGCUACGCAAGAGCACUAUAGGGAGACUUCCGGUGACAAACCGGAGGAAGGUGGGGAUGACGUCAAGUCCUCAUGGCCCUUAUGGGUAGGGCUUCACACGUCAUACAAUGGUCGGAACAGAGGGUCGCCAACCCGCGAGGGGGAGCUAAUCCCAGAAAACCGAUGGUAGUCCGGAAUGCACUCUGCAACUCGAGUGCAUGAAGCUGGAAUCCAUAGUAAUCGCGGAUCAGCAUGCCGCGGGAAUACGAUC